UACAGAGGUGGCAAACGUUGUCCGGAUUUAUUGGGUGUAAAGGGCAUGUAGGUGGUUUUGUAAGUCAAAGGUGAAAUGGCCCGGCUUAACCAGGUCAUUGCCUUUGAAACUGCAGGACUCGAGUGCGGAAGAGGAAAGCGGAAUUCCCAGUGUAGCGGUGAAAUGCGUAGAUAUUGGGAGGAACACCGGUGGCGAAGGCGGCUUUCUGGUCCGAUACUGACACUGAGAUGCGAAAGCCAGGGGAGCAAACGGG
Molecule: small RNA, 253 nt
Filed under: uncultured bacterium
Lineage: Bacteria
Description: contains 16S-23S intergenic spacer region
Rfam family: Bacterial small subunit ribosomal RNA
Source: RNAcentral